AUGGGCAGGUUGAAGGUUGGGUAACACUAACUGGAGGACCGAACCGACUAAUGUUGAAAAAUUAGCGGAUGACUUGUGGCUGGGGGUGAAAGGCCAAUCAAACCGGGAGAUAGCUGGUUCUCCCCGAAAGCUAUUUAGGUAGCGCCUCGUGAAUUCAUCUCCGGGGGUAGAGCACUGUUUCGGCAAGGGGGUCAUCCCGACUUACCAACCCGAUGCAAACUGCGAAUACCGGAGAAUGUUAUCACGGGAGACACACGGCGGGUGCUAACGUCCGUCGUGAAGAGGGAAACAACCCAGACCGCCAGCUAAGGUCCCAAAGUCAUGGUUAAGUGGGAAACGAUGUGGGAAGGCCCAGACAGCCAGGAUGUUGGCUUAGAAGCAGCCAUCAUUUAAAGAAAGCGUAAUAGCUCACUGGUCGAGUCGGCCUGCGCGGAAGAUGUAACGGGGCUAAACCAUG
RNAcentral lists this ribosomal RNA (457 nucleotides) under Escherichia coli. Its description in RNAcentral is "partial 23S ribosomal RNA". It matches the Rfam family "Bacterial large subunit ribosomal RNA", at positions 736 to 1191 of the family's 2925-position model. The record is from RNAcentral. Lineage: Bacteria; Pseudomonadati; Pseudomonadota; Gammaproteobacteria; Enterobacterales; Enterobacteriaceae.